This 811-nucleotide ribosomal RNA is filed under the name uncultured archaeon. Its description in RNAcentral is "bacterial SSU rRNA". It matches the Rfam family "Archaeal small subunit ribosomal RNA", at positions 85 to 879 of the family's 1478-position model. The record is from RNAcentral.
ACGGCUCAGUAACACGUGGCUAACCUGCCCUCGGGACGGGGACACCCCCGGGAAACUGGGGUUAAUCCCCGAUAGGUGAAGAACUCUGGAAUGAGUCUCCGCCCAAAAGGCGCUUGCGCUAUGCUCGUAGGCGUCGCCCAAGGAUGGGGCCGCGUCCGAUCAGGUUGUUGGUGAGGUAACGGCUCACCAAGCCUUUUACCGGUGCGGGCCGUGGGAGCGGGAGCCCGGAGAUGGGCACUGAGACAAGGGCCCAGGCCCUACGGGGCGCAGCAGUCGCGAAAACUUUGCAAUACACGAAAGUGUGACAGGGCUAUCCCGAGUGCCAUCCGCUGAGGAAGGCUUUUACCCAGUGUAGAUAGCUGGGAGAAUAAGGAGAGGGCAAGACUGGUGUCAGCCGCCGCGGUAAUACCAGCUCUCCGAGUGGUGUGGAUGUUUAUUGGGCCUAAAGCAUCCGUAGCUGGCUGGGCAAGUCCCCUGUUAAAUCCACCGAUUCAAUCGUUGGUGUGCGGGGGAUACUGUUCGGCUAGGGGACGGGAGAGGCCGACGGUAUUUUCGGGGUAGGGGUGAAAUCCUAUAAUCCCGGAAAGACCACCAGUGGCGAAGGCUGUCGGCUAGAACGCGCCCGACGGUGAGGGAUGAAAGCUGGGGGAGCGAACCGGAUUAGGUACCCGGGUAGUCCCAGCCGUAAACGAUGCAGGCUAGGUGUUUGGGCGGCCACGUGCCGCUCUAGUGCCGCAAGGAAGCUGUUAAGCCUGCCGCCCGGGGAGUACGGCCGCAAGGCUGAAACUUAAAGGAAUUGGCGGGGGAGCAC